Molecule: long non-coding RNA, 853 nt
Organism: Cyprinus carpio (common carp)
Lineage: Eukaryota; Metazoa; Chordata; Actinopteri; Cypriniformes; Cyprinidae
Source: Ensembl
AAUCAAUGCAAACUAUGUAUUUAAAUUGAUAUAUUACUUUGUGUCCCUCAGGGACUUCAGAAAGGUUUUUGUCUUCUACAGCUUAACAACUUCACUACCAGAACUUUCCAUUAAUCAGGCCAAAUUGGCUCUAAGGUAUACACAUAUUUGGGGGUGCAGAGAGCCAUAUCUCUGAAGCAAUGCUGCACAUUUUUGCAGAGUUUCUGGCAUAUGAGCUGUCUUGUCAAAUCAGCCUGUCUCAGCUUAGCUUCUUUAAAGUCACACUAUUUCAAAUGGAGCCAUAUAAAAAAAAGGAAAGAGUAGUCUGAUUUGCAGGAAGCCUCGGGCGAUGGUUUUGAGGAGAGCAUGAUAAGCAGGGGGUGGGCGCACAUACUGAUCCAUUUCUAAAAGAUGACUCUGAGCGGUUCUGGUAGAGCUGUUAUUUCAUGUUUUUUUUUUUUGGGAUACAGGCACCCCGUUCUCUUUGAAGUCACUGUCACUCAUGGGAAGGCGGUGAAGGUGAUGCACUAGGGCAACAUGGCCUCUUGCAUAAUUCUUCAUUCUUUCUUACCAGAGGGUCUGUGCCUGACUGGAGCAUAUGUCACAGCGGAAAGCAACAACAUCUGGCAACAGACAAUGAGAUAUCAGAGCUGAGUGACCUCCUCUGUUGGUGCAAUCUACAUCUGACCCUAGACCAUGAGUGUUCGGCAUUUGUUGACUGUCCACUGACCAGCAACAACCUUCCAGAUCACUGAAAAUGCCAGGCGGGUGGACCACCGGUCCUCUCUUAUCAUGAAUGAUGGCAUGGCAUCAUUUUAAAUAAGUGUUGUUUGUUCCUGAAUAAAGUAGACUGUUGCAAAAAUGUUGUUAUUCA